UACGAAGGGGGCUAGCGUUGCUCGGAAUGACUGGGCGUAAAGGGCGCGUAGGCGGAUUGCUUUGUCGGGCGUGAAAUUCCAGGGCUUAACCUUGGGGCUGCGUUCGAGACGGGUGAUCUUGAGUUCGGAAGAGGGUCGUGGAAUUCCCAGUGUAGAGGUGAAAUUCGUAGAUAUUGGGAAGAACACCGGUGGCGAAGGCGGCGACCUGGUCCGAGACUGACGCUGAGGAGCGAAAGUGUGGGGAGCGAACAGG
RNAcentral lists this ribosomal RNA (253 nucleotides) under uncultured bacterium. Its description in RNAcentral is "partial 16S ribosomal RNA". It matches the Rfam family "Bacterial small subunit ribosomal RNA", at positions 524 to 776 of the family's 1533-position model. The record is from RNAcentral.